RNAcentral lists this transfer RNA (72 nucleotides) under Camelus bactrianus (Bactrian camel). It matches the Rfam family "tRNA". From Rfam's summary of the family: Transfer RNA (tRNA) molecules are approximately 80 nucleotides in length. Their secondary structure includes four short double-helical elements and three loops (D, anti-codon, and T loops). Further hydrogen bonds mediate the characteristic L-shaped molecular structure. tRNAs have two regions of fundamental functional importance: the anti-codon, which is responsible for specific mRNA codon recognition, and the 3' end, to which the tRNAs corresponding amino acid is attached (by aminoacyl-tRNA synthetases). tRNAs cope with the degeneracy of the genetic code in two manners: having more than one tRNA (with a specific anti-codon) for a particular amino acid; and 'wobble' base-pairing, i.e. permitting non-standard base-pairing at the 3rd anti-codon position. The record is from Rfam by way of RNAcentral. Lineage: Eukaryota; Metazoa; Chordata; Mammalia; Artiodactyla; Camelidae. RNAcentral also lists the same sequence under 1 other name.
GAGGGUGUAGCUCUGUGGUAUAGCGCCUGCCUAGCAUGCGUAAGGUCCUGGGUUCAAUCCCCAGCACCUCCA